This is a long non-coding RNA of Piliocolobus tephrosceles (Ugandan red Colobus), 2925 nucleotides long. Lineage: Eukaryota; Metazoa; Chordata; Mammalia; Primates; Cercopithecidae. The record is from Ensembl.
UAAUGAAAUGGUUAUAAAACAAAAAAAUAAAAAAGAAAUUUUAUUAAAAAAUGAUGGCCAAUUAAAUGGCCUUGUUAAGUUAUCUUAUAAAAAUAUGUUGAAAGAUAAAGAAAUAAAAAUAAAAUUUGAACCGUCUAAUUUUAUUUUAAAAUCGAAAGAAAAACAAAUUGUAAAUGUUAUUAUAUAUUCAAAAGUACCACAAAAAUAUGAAUCAAUUAUAACAUGUUCUAUCAUUGAAAUACCAAAAAGGGUAGAAAAAAAAAUUAAUUACGAGUUAGAAAAAAAAGUUACUUUUGAAUCUGAAAUAAAAAAAAACAAUUUACAAACAACUAUUAAUCCUUAUGAAACAAAAAAAAAAACAGAAAAUGAAGAAAAUUUUGUAUCAAAAAUAAUUAAAAUAUUAAACAAAGAAAAUAUACAAGUCUGUUUAAUAAAAAAACAGAUUAACGCACAUAUGAUUUUUGUUUUACCACAUAUUAUUAUUUUGUGUGACCAAAAUAAGGAAAUUUUUAAUAAAGAUAUAAUCAAUUUUGGGAAUAUAACAUUAGGCCAAAAAAUAACUAAAACGUUUUUUUUGAAAAAUUUGACAAAUGCUCCAAUUAACGUAGUGGCCAAAAAACAAAAAGGGAACAGCGUUUUUACAUUUCCCAUCGAUAAAUUAACAUUAAAAGAAAAAAGUACAGAAGCCGUUUCGAUUAAUGUUAACGGCAAUAAUCCUGUUAGUAAUUAUACAGAAGUAAUUCGAUUUAAAGCAUGUAACGAUUAUUCUAUUGAACUUUUUUUAUUAUGUGAAAUUAAAAAUAUAAAAUUGGUUUUACAGAAGACUUUAUAUAUAUUUGAAAAUACCAAAAUAGGAGAUACAAUAAAUGAAAAAAUAGUAAUAAGAAAUGAUGAAGAUACAGACUUAGAUGUAGAAAUUAUAAAUUCAGGAUAUUUUUUUUAUAUAAAAAAUAAAAAAUUUAUAAUAAAAAAAAAUAGUUUUCAUUCUAUAUAUCUAGUAUGUAAUUGUAUUUAUCCAAUCAAUGUAUAUAAAAGAAUAUAUUUUUUAGUACAUUUAAAUAAAAAAAUAUUUUAUAUAGAUGUUAUUUGUAACUUUUCUAUAAGUUAUAAAAUGCCUCCUUUGUCUAUUCAUCACAUAUAUAGAUAUAAAAAUUUAAUUCAUGACAAAAAUAUAGUAUACAAUUCAUAUUAUGAAAAAAAUGAGUAUAUUGAUAUAUGGGAUUUUCCAGUCGAGUUUGAUUCGUAUGAAGAUACUACAUACGAGUUGCUGAAUGAUAUAUUGGAAAUAAGUGAAAAAGACGUAUUUGCAGUACCUAAAGAAUUAGAAGUACAAGAAAUGGAAGAAAAAGAUUUAAUGUUAAUAAAUAAAACGCCAGUUGAAUAUACAUGUGUAUGGUUAAAUGCAGUUGAUAAACAGGAGCAGGGAACUUUUGAAGUAACUCCUAAAGAAGCACCGUUGUUGCCAUUCGGCUAUCAAAAAUUUAGAGUAAAAAACAUAAAAGGUUUAAAAAAAAAAUAUGUAUGUGAAGUAUACGAAUGUAUUGUGUUUCCGUCUAAUAACAAAGACUAUACGAAAUGUAACAGCAAGACAUUAUUAGCACCUUUUUUUAUAUAUGCUACUUUUUUUCAAUUUAAUACAAAAUAUAUAUGUGAAACAGAAAACGUGCAAGACAGUUUAGUUUUUUAUCCAAAAAAUAUAUCCUUUUUAAAUAUAAUUGAGGAAGAAUAUAGUUAUGCUAUUGUCAAAUUUGAAAAUAACUCAGAAGUUACUCAAAUUAUUGAUUUCACUCCAUAUAAAAAUGAAGCCGAAAGCAUAAAGGUAUAUCCACAAAUAAAUUAUGUUCCUAAAAAAAGCUUUUUAAAUGUAAUUAUUUUUUACUCCCCCAAAAAAAAACAAUCAAAUAACUCUGAAAUAAAAAUAUACUAUUUAGUAAAUGGAAUUGAAAAAAAUUAUAUAUCUGUUUUGGUUUCCCAUGAAAUGAACAACGUUAUGUUAAAUGCAGGAGAUACUAACAUAAACUUACCAUGUGUAGGUACCGAAACUGAAAGUUACAAAAAAGUGAAUAUUGAAAAUUUAACAGAAAGAAAUGUUUUAUGUGUACUAAUAAAAGAAGAUGUAGAGAAACUUGUUAAUAUUGAUAUAGAUGGGAAUAACGAUCCUGUUGAUAAUAAAAAAGAAACCAAUUUAAACGAAUUGAAUAACACAACUGUUGAUAAUGAAAAUAUAAAACAUAGUAGUUCAUUUAUUGAUGAUGAUGAAAAACUAUAUAAUUUUUAUUUUUUUUGUCUUUCACCUUUUGAAAAAAAAAAUAUACAUAUUUCUGCUAUUUGUAAUUUUAGUAUAACCAAAUCGAUUCCUUUACUCUUCAAUUAUUUAUUAUAUAUAAACGAUGCAGACAUGGAAAAUAAAUUCAUAUAUUUAAAAAAAAACAUGAAUGAUCAUAUAAAAAGUUCAAACAAGUUUUCUAUUAAUAUUAAUAUAGUAAAAAGUUCAUUAAUGGUUUAUCCGAAAUUAAUUGAAAGUGAAUUGAUUCUACCUGGAAAACAGUUUAAUGCGAAGAUAACAGUAAAAAAUAAACACCCAGUGAUUAUAAAUUUUAAGACUAAAACUAAAAUUGUUCAAAUAGAUGGCAUCGAUGUUUUUGAUGAAAAAGAAGUUAUAGAAGCAGAAGAAAAUAUAAUAUCAAACAAUAAUGAAUAUGUAAUAAAUCCCUUUUCUGAAAAAAAUAUAAUCGUGAGUUUUAACACUAGCCGAAAGGGGGUAUUUUUGUAUCGUUUUUUUGUCAUGAUAGCAGGUAAGAUAAAAAAAAAAAAAAAAACUGCCAUUUGUUUUAAUGUAUAAACAUAUAUAUAUGUAUGUAUAUAUACAUGCAUAUACACAUAUAACAUACUUUCGUAAUAAACCCUAAAAUUUUUUUUUUCUCA